RNAcentral lists this ribosomal RNA (490 nucleotides) under uncultured bacterium. Its description in RNAcentral is "partial 16S ribosomal RNA". It matches the Rfam family "Bacterial small subunit ribosomal RNA", at positions 29 to 507 of the family's 1533-position model. The record is from RNAcentral.
AGUGAACGCUGGCGGCAGGCCUAACACAUGCAAGUCGAACGGCAGCACAAGAGAGCUUGCUCUCUGGGUGGCGAGUGGCGGACGGGUGAGGAAUGCAUCGGAAUCUGCCCAUUUGUGGGGGAUAACCUCGGGAAACCGGGACUAAUACCGCAUACGACCUACGGGUGAAAGCAGGGGAACUUCGGACCUUGCGCAGAUGGAUGAGCCGAUGCCGGAUUAGCUAGUUGGAGGGGUAAAGGCCCACCAAGGCGACGAUCCGUAGCUGGUCUGAGAGGAUGAUCAGCCACACUGGGACUGAGACACGGCCCAGACUCCUACGGGAGGCAGCAGUGGGGAAUAUUGGACAAUGGGCGCAAGCCUGAUCCAGCCAUGCCGCGUGUGUGAAGAAGGCCUUCGGGUUGUAAAGCACUUUUGUUGGGAAAGAAAAGCAGCCGGUUAAUACCCGGUUGUCAUGACGGUACCCAAAGAAUAAGCACCGGCUAACUUCGUG